GCCGCGGUGGCGGAAUGGCAGACGCAAUGGACUCAAAAUCCAUCGAUCGCAAGGUCAUGAGAGUUCGACUCUCUCCCGCGGCACCA
This 86-nucleotide transfer RNA is filed under the name Candidatus Wildermuthbacteria bacterium RIFCSPLOWO2_12_FULL_40_9. RNAcentral's name for it is "tRNA-Leu". It matches the Rfam family "tRNA". From Rfam's summary of the family: Transfer RNA (tRNA) molecules are approximately 80 nucleotides in length. Lineage: Bacteria; Candidatus Wildermuthiibacteriota. The record is from RNAcentral.